RNAcentral lists this ribosomal RNA (497 nucleotides) under uncultured bacterium. RNAcentral describes it as "partial 16S ribosomal RNA". It matches the Rfam family "Bacterial small subunit ribosomal RNA", at positions 28 to 507 of the family's 1533-position model. The record is from RNAcentral.
GAUGAACGCUGGCGGCGUGCCUAAUACAUGCAAGUCGAGCGAACAGACGAGGAGCUUGCUCCUCUGACGUUAGCGGCGGACGGGUGAGUAACACGUGGAUAACCUACCUAUAAGACGGGGAUAACUUCGGGAAACCGGAGAUAAUACCGGAUAAUAUAUUGAACCGCAGGGUUCAAUAGUGAAAGACGGUUUUGCUGUCACUUAUAGAUGGAUCCGCGCCGCAUUAGCUAGUUGGUAAGGUAACGGCUUACCAAGGCAACGAUGCGUAGCCGACCUGAGAGGGUGAUCGGCCACACUGGAACUGAGCCACGGUCCAGACUCCUACGGGAGGCAGCAGUAGGGAAUCUUCCGCAAUGGGCGCAAGCCUGACGCAGCCACGCCGCGUGAGUGAUGAAGGUCUUCGGAUCGUAAAGCUCUGUUAUUGGGGAAGAACAAAUGUGUAAGUAACUAUGCACGUCUUGACGGUACCUAAUCAGAAAGCAACGGCUAACUACGUG